GACGAACGCUGGCGGCGUGCCUAAUACAUGCAAGUAGAACGCUGAAGAGAGGAGCUUGCUCUUCUUGGAUGAGUUGCGAACGGGUGAGUAACGCGUAGGUAACCUGCCUGGUAGCGGGGGAUAACUAUUGGAAACGAUAGCUAAUACCGCAUGAAAUUGCUUAUCGCAUGAUAAUUAAUUGAAAGAUGCAAUUGCAUCACUACCAGAUGGACCUGCGUUGUAUUAGCUAGUUGGUGAGGUAACGGCUCACCAAGGCGACGAUACAUAGCCGACCUGAGAGGGUGAUCGGCCACACUGGGACUGAGACACGGCCCAGACUCCUACGGGAGGCAGCAGUAGGGAAUCUUCGGCAAUGGGGGGAACCCUGACCGAGCAACGCCGCGUGAGUGAAGAAGGUUUUCGGAUCGUAAAGCUCUGUUGUAAGAGAAGAACGGGUGUGAGAGUGGAAAGUUCACACUGUGACGGUAUCUUACCAGAAAGGGACGGCUAACUACGUGCCAGCAGCCGCGGUAAUACGUAGGUCCCGAGCGUUGUCCGGAUUUAUUGGGCGUAAAGCGAGCGCAGGCGGUUAGAUAAGUCUGAAGUUAAAGGCUGUGGCUUAACCAUAGUAUGCUUUGGAAACUGUUUAACUUGAGUGCAGAAGGGGAGAGUGGAAUUCCAUGUGUAGCGGUGAAAUGCGCAGAUAUAUGGAGGAACACCGGUGGCGAAAGCGGCUCUCUGGUCUGUAACUGACGCUGAGGCUCGAAAGCGUGGGGAGCAAACAGG
Molecule: ribosomal RNA, 765 nt
Filed under: uncultured Streptococcus sp.
Lineage: Bacteria; Bacillati; Bacillota; Bacilli; Lactobacillales; Streptococcaceae
Description: bacterial SSU rRNA
Rfam family: Bacterial small subunit ribosomal RNA
Source: RNAcentral